This is a non-coding RNA of Amphiprion ocellaris (clown anemonefish), 487 nucleotides long. NCBI's taxonomy places the organism in Eukaryota, Metazoa, Chordata, Actinopteri, Pomacentridae. The record is from the annotation of a RefSeq genome assembly.
UUUGCAUCAUCAGCUGAUGUGAAGUGAGAAGGUUUAUAGUCCUGUGAGUUCAACACUGCAGGACUCACAUCUGUCAGUCAACACAGCAGAAAGCACAACCACCAUGACUCUCAUCUCCAUCCUCAUCUGGACGCUGCUCUGCUGCUGCUUCCAAGGUUCUAGUGGUCAAGUGACUGUGACUCAGCCUGCAGCAAAAACAUCUUCACUUGGAUCCACAGUCACUCUGACCUGUAACAUCAACCCAAAAGUUUAUUCUUGGUCAGAUGGAGCUAGUAGAGUACACUGGUAUCAGCAGAAAUUUGGACAAGCUCCUAAACUGCUGAUUUAUAAUGGUAUACACAAACCAUCCGGUGGUGGAGUUCCUGCUCGAUUCAGUGGACAAGGAAAUGGUGUUGAUGCUUCUUUGACCAUCAGUGGAGUUCAGACUGAAGAUGCAGCAGUUUACUACUGUCAGAGUUACCACGAUGGCCCAGUGUUCACACAGUGA